Molecule: ribosomal RNA, 851 nt
Filed under: Arthothelium galapagoense
Lineage: Eukaryota; Fungi; Ascomycota; Arthoniomycetes; Arthoniales; Arthoniaceae
Description: LSU rRNA
Rfam family: Eukaryotic large subunit ribosomal RNA
Source: RNAcentral
GGAUGGCCCCAGUAACGGCGAGUGAAGCGGCCACAGCCCAAAUUUGAAAUCUGGCCCGGCCCCGGGUCCGAGUUGUAAUUUGGAGAGGAUGCUUUGGCGGUGGCCCCGGGGCAAGUUCCCUGGAACCGGAUGCCGCAGAGGGUGAGAGCCCCGUACCCGCCCGGGUGCCCGCCGCCGGACAAAGCGCCUUCGACGAGUCGAGUUGUUUGGGAAUGCAGCUCCAAGCGGGAGGUAAAUUUCUUCCAAGGCUAAAUACCGGCCAGAGACCGAUAGCGCACAAGUAGAGUGAUCGAAAGAUGAAAAGCACUUUGGAAAGAGAGUCAAAUAGCACGUGAAAUUGUUGAAAGGGAAGCUCUUGCUGCCAGACGUGCCGCGGGUGCUCAGCGCUCCCUCGGGGGCGUGUACUCGCCCGCGGCGGGCCAGCGUCGGUUCGGGCGGCCAGACAAAGGCCUGGGGAACGUAGCUCGCCUCGGCGAGUGUUACAGCCCUGGGUGCCAUGCGGCCUGCCCGGACCGAGGCCCGCGUUCGCUCGGACGCUGGCGUAAUGGUCGCAAGCGACCCGUCUUGAAACACGGACCAAGGAGUCUAACAUCUGUGCGAGUGUGCGGGUGUCAAACCCGUGCGCGGAAUGAAAGUGAACGGAGGUGGGACGCCGCACGGCCGCACCAUCGACCGAUCCUGAUGUCCUCGGAUGGAUUUGAGUAGGAGCAUAGCUGUUGGGACCCGAAAGAUGGUGAACUAUGCGUGUCUAGGGUGAAGCCAGAGGAAACUCUGGUGGAGGCUCGCAGCGGUUCUGACGUGCAAAUCGAUCGUCAAAGAUGCGUAUAGGGGCGAAAGACCAAUCGAACCAU